This 460-nucleotide ribosomal RNA is filed under the name uncultured bacterium. RNAcentral's name for it is "partial 16S ribosomal RNA". It matches the Rfam family "Bacterial small subunit ribosomal RNA", at positions 338 to 795 of the family's 1533-position model. The record is from RNAcentral.
CCUACGGGAGGCUGCCGUGAGGAAUAUUGGUCAAUGGACGAGAGUCUGAACCAGCCAAGUAGCGUGAAGGAUGACUGCCCUAUGGGUUGUAAACUUCUUUUAUAUGGGAAUAAAAUGUUCCACGUGUGGGCUUUUGUAUGUACCAUAUGAAUAAGGAUCGGCUAACUCCGUGCCAGCAGCCGCGGUAAUACGGAGGAUCCGAGCGUUAUCCGGAUUUAUUGGGUUUAAAGGGAGCGUAGGUGGAUUGUUAAGUCAGUUGUGAAAGUUUGCGGCUCAACCGUAAAAUUGCAGUUGAAACUGGCAGUCUUGAGUACAGUAGAGGUGGGCGGAAGUCGUGGUGUAGCGGUGAAAUGCUUAGAUAGCACGAAGAACUCCGAUUGCGAAGGCAGCUCACUGGACUGCAACUGACACUGAGGCUCGAAAGUGUGGGUAUCAAACAGGAUUAGAUACCCUGGUAGUC